Molecule: long non-coding RNA, 555 nt
Filed under: Drosophila guanche
Lineage: Eukaryota; Metazoa; Arthropoda; Insecta; Diptera; Drosophilidae
Source: RNAcentral
GUUCAGAUAUGUACACAGACAGUAGUCAGUUAGUCAUACAGUCGCGUAUUCGAAGGAGUAGUGAUGCUUUCAUUAAAUAAAAAUCAGGCGCAGUUUUUGGUUCUUUAUUUUAUUUUCUUCAUCAUUUUUAUCUCAUCAAAGGCGCAAGCCGAAGAGAGAAAUAUUAAUAAGCUGCUGAAUAACCAGGUCGUUGUCAGUCGCCAGAUAAUGUGCAUUCUUGAGAAGAGCGAAUGCGACCAAUUGGGCCAGCAACUUAAAGGUAGCGCAAAUACAUCCAAAAUUUGUCAACUGCGAUGCCAAAGUAAGAAUCAUAAAUCUUAUUCAAUAUAUUUCAGCUGCCCUGCCAGAAGUUAUAACCAGAAAGUGCAGGAACUGUUCGCCCCAACAGGCUCAAAAGGCGCAAAAGCUGACAACAUUUUUACAAACAAGAUACCCCGAUGUCUGGGCGAUGCUUAUAAGAAAAUACCAAAGUGUCUAAAUAUACAUACUACCACAGGCUAUUUAUACCCAUGAAUGAAUUCAAAAAUAAAAUCGUAGUAUCGUAAAAUUGCCAAA